UGCAUCGAUGAAGAACGCAGGAAAUGCGAUACUCAAUGCGAUUUGCAGAAAUCGCGAGCCAUCGACACCUUGAACGCACGUGCGCCCGAGGCUUCUGCCGAGGGCACGCCCGCCUGAGCAUCA
This 123-nucleotide ribosomal RNA is filed under the name Chara guairensis. Its description in RNAcentral is "partial 5.8S ribosomal RNA". It matches the Rfam family "5.8S ribosomal RNA", at positions 29 to 154 of the family's 154-position model. From Rfam's summary of the family: 5.8S ribosomal RNA (5.8S rRNA) is a component of the large subunit of the eukaryotic ribosome. It is transcribed by RNA polymerase I as part of the 45S precursor that also contains 18S and 28S rRNA. The record is from RNAcentral. Lineage: Eukaryota; Viridiplantae; Streptophyta; Charophyceae; Charales; Characeae.